AGUGAACGCUGGCGGUAGGCCUAACACAUGCAAGUCGAACGGCAGCACAGUAAGAGCUUGCUCUUACGGGUGGCGAGUGGCGGACGGGUGAGGAAUACAUCGGAAUCUACUUUUUCGUGGGGGAUAACGAAGGGAAACUUACGCUAAUACCGCAUACGACCUACGGGUGAAAGCAGGGGAUCUUCGGACCUUGCGCGAUUGAAUGAGCCGAUGUCGGAUUAGCUAGUUGGCGGGGUAAAGGCCCACCAAGGCGACGAUCCGUAGCUGGUCUGAGAGGAUGAUCAGCCACGCUGGAACUGAGACACGGUCCAGACUCCUACGGGAGGCAGCAGUGGGGAAUAUUGGACAAUGGGCGCAAGCCUGAUCCAGCCAUACCGCGUGGGUGAAGAAGGCCUUCGGGUUGUAAAGCCCUUUUGUUGGGAAAGAAAAGCAGCAGGUUAAUACCCCGCUGUUCUGACGGUACCCAAAGAAUAAGCACCGGCUAACUUCGUG
Molecule: ribosomal RNA, 492 nt
Filed under: uncultured bacterium
Lineage: Bacteria
Description: partial 16S ribosomal RNA
Rfam family: Bacterial small subunit ribosomal RNA
Source: RNAcentral